AAUAAGUGCAGCUAUGAGUUUCUGCGCCAAACUUUGAUCGUCCGUCUUAUUUGAAAUUUUUUUUAUAAUUAGCAUUUUUGUUGAUAUAAGAUGAUAAAAUAAGAAUAAUACUUUACCCGUGACUUAUGUUUUUAAUUUUUUUCAAAAUUUUUUUAAAUAAGACGAAUGGUCAAAGUUGGGCGCGAAAAAUCAUGGCUACACUUAUU
Non-coding RNA from Oryza glumipatula, 206 nucleotides. The record is from Rfam. NCBI's taxonomy places the organism in Eukaryota, Viridiplantae, Streptophyta, Magnoliopsida, Poales, Poaceae.